This 785-nucleotide ribosomal RNA is filed under the name Enterococcus sp. MBTD_CMFRI_Ec01. RNAcentral describes it as "bacterial SSU rRNA". It matches the Rfam family "Bacterial small subunit ribosomal RNA", at positions 66 to 822 of the family's 1533-position model. Lineage: Bacteria; Bacillati; Bacillota; Bacilli; Lactobacillales; Enterococcaceae. The record is from RNAcentral.
ACGCUUCUUUUUCCACCGGAGCUUGCUCCACCGGAAAAAGAGGAGUGGCGAACGGGUGAGUAACACGUGGGUAACCUGCCCAUCAGAAGGGGAUAACACUUGGAAACAGGUGCUAAUACCGUAUAACAAUCGAAACCGCAUGGUUUUGAUUUGAAAGGCGCUUUCGGGUGUCGCUGAUGGAUGGACCCGCGGUGCAUUAGCUAGUUGGUGAGGUAACGGCUCACCAAGGCCACGAUGCAUAGCCGACCUGAGAGGGUGAUCGGCCACAUUGGGACUGAGACACGGCCCAAACUCCUACGGGAGGCAGCAGUAGGGAAUCUUCGGCAAUGGACGAAAGUCUGACCGAGCAACGCCGCGUGAGUGAAGAAGGUUUUCGGAUCGUAAAACUCUGUUGUUAGAGAAGAACAAGGAUGAGAGUAACUGUUCAUCCCUUGACGGUAUCUAACCAGAAAGCCACGGCUAACUACGUGCCAGCAGCCGCGGUAAUACGUAGGUGGCAAGCGUUGUCCGGAUUUAUUGGGCGUAAAGCGAGCGCAGGCGGUUUCUUAAGUCUGAUGUGAAAGCCCCCGGCUCAACCGGGGAGGGUCAUUGGAAACUGGGAGACUUGAGUGCAGAAGAGGAGAGUGGAAUUCCAUGUGUAGCGGUGAAAUGCGUAGAUAUAUGGAGGAACACCAGUGGCGAAGGCGGCUCUCUGGUCUGUAACUGACGCUGAGGCUCGAAAGCGUGGGGAGCAAACAGGAUUAGAUACCCUGGUAGUCCACGCCGUAAACGAUGAGUGCUAAGUG